CGAGUCCCAAACAGGACGAAACGCGCGUC
Non-coding RNA from Schistosoma mattheei, 29 nucleotides. NCBI's taxonomy places the organism in Eukaryota, Metazoa, Platyhelminthes, Trematoda, Strigeidida, Schistosomatidae. The record is from Rfam.